UCAGGAUGAACGGCUGGCGGCGUGCCUAACACAUGCAAGUCGAACGAAGCACUGCGGAUGGAGAUUCGUCAAAAUCUGCUUGACUUAGUGGCGGACGGGUGAGUAAUGUGUGAGCAACCUGCCUUCAGAGGGGGACAACAGUUGGAAACGACUGCUAAUACCGCAUAAUGUAUCGGGAGGGCAUCCUUUUGAUACCAAAGGAGCAAUCCGCUGAAAGAUGGGCUCACAUCUGAUUAGCUAGUUGGUGGGGUAACGGCCUACCAAGGCUGCGAUCAGUAGCCGGACUGAGAGGUUGAACGGCCACAUUGGGACUGAGAUACGGCCCAGACUCCUACGGGAGGCAGCAGGUGGGGAAUAUUGGGCAAUGGGCGAAAGCCUCGACCCAGCAACGCCGCGUGAAGGAAGAAGGUCUUCGGAUUGUAAACUUCUUUUAUGAGGGACGAAGGACGUGACGGUACCUCAUGAAUAAGCCACGGCUAACUACGUGCCAGCCGCGGC
This 498-nucleotide ribosomal RNA is filed under the name uncultured bacterium. RNAcentral describes it as "bacterial SSU rRNA". It matches the Rfam family "Bacterial small subunit ribosomal RNA", at positions 24 to 518 of the family's 1533-position model. The record is from RNAcentral.